RNAcentral lists this ribosomal RNA (330 nucleotides) under uncultured Alphaproteobacteria bacterium. Its description in RNAcentral is "bacterial SSU rRNA". It matches the Rfam family "Bacterial small subunit ribosomal RNA", at positions 566 to 896 of the family's 1533-position model. Lineage: Bacteria; Pseudomonadati; Pseudomonadota; Alphaproteobacteria. The record is from RNAcentral.
CGCACGUAGGCGGAUUAGUAAGUUAGAGGUGAAAUCCCAGGGCUCAACCCUGGAACUGCCUUUAAUACUGCUAGUCUUGAGUUCGAGAGAGGUAAGUGGAAUUCCGAGUGUAGAGGUGAAAUUCGUAGAUAUUCGGAGGAACACCAGUGGCGAAGGCGGCUUACUGGCUCGAUACUGACGCUGAGGUGCGAAAGUGUGGGGAGCAAACAGGAUUAGAUACCCUGGUAGUCCACACCGUAAACGAUGAAUGCCAGACGUCAGCAAGUAUACUUGUUGGUGUCACACCUAACGGAUUAAGCAUUCCGCCUGGGGAGUACGGUCGCAAGAUUA